This is a non-coding RNA of Vicia faba (fava bean), 366 nucleotides long. The record is from the annotation of a GenBank genome assembly. NCBI's taxonomy places the organism in Eukaryota, Viridiplantae, Streptophyta, Magnoliopsida, Fabales, Fabaceae.
CUCGCUCCAAAAUUACAACACGUGGAUAGCUUUUUAGGGGUUCCACUUUCAUGUGUUUUUAAUACUAUAUUCUUCUAUGAUUUCACAUUAUGUAACCUCCCUCUCCACUAUCCUUUGACCUGCUUCUCCAACCUCUCUAUUCCUUAUUUCGUUCAACCUAAAUCGGCGGUUACAGAAUACUCCGUUUCCACUUCUCCUUAUUCCACUACCUCUGUGCAGCGGUUAUGUUUUUCUUUAAUCAUGCUUUAUUUUCAUUCAACGUUAAAACUAACAGAAUCUCAAAUCUUAAAAGUUUCAAAUUUCACAUUUGAAAUAAUCAAAUCCCUAAAAUUUGAAUUGCACAAAAGUUUCAAACCACAAUGGUAG